UACGGAGGGUGCAAGCGUUAAUCGGAAUUACUGGGCGUAAAGCGUACGUAGGUGGUUUGUUAAGCCAGCUGUGAAAUCCCCGGGCUCAACCUGGGCACUGCAGUUGGAACUGGCAAGCUAGAGUAGGGUAGAGGGGUGUGGAAUUCCAGGUGUAGCGGUGAAAUGCGUAGAUAUCUGGAGGAACAUCAGUGGCGAAGGCGACACCCUGGACUCAUACUGACACUGAGGUACGAAAGCGUGGGGAGCAAACAGGAUUAGAUACCCCCGUAGUCC
RNAcentral lists this ribosomal RNA (273 nucleotides) under uncultured bacterium. Its description in RNAcentral is "partial 16S ribosomal RNA". It matches the Rfam family "Bacterial small subunit ribosomal RNA", at positions 524 to 796 of the family's 1533-position model. The record is from RNAcentral.